RNAcentral lists this small RNA (181 nucleotides) under Pseudomonas coleopterorum. Its description in RNAcentral is "Pseudomonas sRNA P1". The record is from RNAcentral. Lineage: Bacteria; Pseudomonadati; Pseudomonadota; Gammaproteobacteria; Pseudomonadales; Pseudomonadaceae.
ACCCUCGGUCUUAUUGAAAUGACGGGUUGAAAACGAGCUUAGCCUUGUUCAUUUUUUUCCACAACUCUCGACCUGCAAACUUCAUCGUGCACUUUUCAUACAGUUGCAAAGUGCCUUAAUUGCCUGUCACGCGCGCCCCGAUAUGCAGCAAAAGAGGCUUAACAGCGCCCUUUCAGGGCAA